Molecule: ribosomal RNA, 2887 nt
Filed under: Staphylococcus aureus M1550
Lineage: Bacteria; Bacillati; Bacillota; Bacilli; Caryophanales; Staphylococcaceae
Description: bacterial LSU rRNA
Rfam family: Bacterial large subunit ribosomal RNA
Source: RNAcentral
UUAAGUUAUUAAGGGCGCACGGUGGAUGCCUUGGCACUAGAAGCCGAUGAAGGACGUUACUAACGACGAUAUGCUUUGGGGAGCUGUAAGUAAGCUUUGAUCCAGAGAUUUCCGAAUGGGGAAACCCAGCAUGAGUUAUGUCAUGUUAUCGAUAUGUGAAUACAUAGCAUAUCAGAAGGCACACCCGGAGAACUGAAACAUCUUAGUACCCGGAGGAAGAGAAAGAAAAUUCGAUUCCCUUAGUAGCGGCGAGCGAAACGGGAAGAGCCCAAACCAACAAGCUUGCUUGUUGGGGUUGUAGGACACUCUAUACGGAGUUACAAAGGACGACAUUAGACGAAUCAUCUGGAAAGAUGAAUCAAAGAAGGUAAUAAUCCUGUAGUCGAAAAUGUUGUCUCUCUUGAGUGGAUCCUGAGUACGACGGAGCACGUGAAAUUCCGUCGGAAUCUGGGAGGACCAUCUCCUAAGGCUAAAUACUCUCUAGUGACCGAUAGUGAACCAGUACCGUGAGGGAAAGGUGAAAAGCACCCCGGAAGGAGAGUGAAAUAGAACCUGAAACCGUGUGCUUACAAGUAGUCAGAGCCCGUUAAUGGGUGAUGGCGUGCCUUUUGUAGAAUGAACCGGCGAGUUACGAUUUGAUGCAAGGUUAAGCAGUAAAUGUGGAGCCGUAGCGAAAGCGAGUCUGAAUAGGGCGUUUAGUAUUUGGUCGUAGACCCGAAACCAGGUGAUCUACCCUUGGUCAGGUUGAAGUUCAGGUAACACUGAAUGGAGGACCGAACCGACUUACGUUGAAAAGUGAGCGGAUGAACUGAGGGUAGCGGAGAAAUUCCAAUCGAACCUGGAGAUAGCUGGUUCUCUCCGAAAUAGCUUUAGGGCUAGCCUCAAGUGAUGAUUAUUGGAGGUAGAGCACUGUUUGGACGAGGGGCCCCUCUCGGGUUACCGAAUUCAGACAAACUCCGAAUGCCAAUUAAUUUAACUUGGGAGUCAGAACAUGGGUGAUAAGGUCCGUGUUCGAAAGGGAAACAGCCCAGACCACCAGCUAAGGUCCCAAAAUAUAUGUUAAGUGGAAAAGGAUGUGGCGUUGCCCAGACAACUAGGAUGUUGGCUUAGAAGCAGCCAUCAUUUAAAGAGUGCGUAAUAGCUCACUAGUCGAGUGACACUGCGCCGAAAAUGUACCGGGGCUAAACAUAUUACCGAAGCUGUGGAUUGUCCUUUGGACAAUGGUAGGAGAGCGUUCUAAGGGCGUUGAAGCAUGAUCGUAAGGACAUGUGGAGCGCUUAGAAGUGAGAAUGCCGGUGUGAGUAGCGAAAGACGGGUGAGAAUCCCGUCCACCGAUUGACUAAGGUUUCCAGAGGAAGGCUCGUCCGCUCUGGGUUAGUCGGGUCCUAAGCUGAGGCCGACAGGCGUAGGCGAUGGAUAACAGGUUGAUAUUCCUGUACCACCUAUAAUCGUUUUAAUCGAUGGGGGGACGCAGUAGGAUAGGCGAAGCGUGCGAUUGGAUUGCACGUCUAAGCAGUAAGGCUGAGUAUUAGGCAAAUCCGGUACUCGUUAAGGCUGAGCUGUGAUGGGGAGAAGACAUUGUGUCUUCGAGUCGUUGAUUUCACACUGCCGAGAAAAGCCUCUAGAUAGAAAAUAGGUGCCCGUACCGCAAACCGACACAGGUAGUCAAGAUGAGAAUUCUAAGGUGAGCGAGCGAACUCUCGUUAAGGAACUCGGCAAAAUGACCCCGUAACUUCGGGAGAAGGGGUGCUCUUUAGGGUUAACGCCCAGAAGAGCCGCAGUGAAUAGGCCCAAGCGACUGUUUAUCAAAAACACAGGUCUCUGCUAAACCGUAAGGUGAUGUAUAGGGGCUGACGCCUGCCCGGUGCUGGAAGGUUAAGAGGAGUGGUUAGCUUCUGCGAAGCUACGAAUCGAAGCCCCAGUAAACGGCGGCCGUAACUAUAACGGUCCUAAGGUAGCGAAAUUCCUUGUCGGGUAAGUUCCGACCCGCACGAAAGGCGUAACGAUUUGGGCACUGUCUCAACGAGAGACUCGGUGAAAUCAUAGUACCUGUGAAGAUGCAGGUUACCCGCGACAGGACGGAAAGACCCCGUGGAGCUUUACUGUAGCCUGAUAUUGAAAUUCGGCACAGCUUGUACAGGAUAGGUAGGAGCCUUUGAAACGUGAGCGCUAGCUUACGUGGAGGCGCUGGUGGGAUACUACCCUAGCUGUGUUGGCUUUCUAACCCGCACCACUUAUCGUGGUGGGAGACAGUGUCAGGCGGGCAGUUUGACUGGGGCGGUCGCCUCCUAAAAGGUAACGGAGGCGCUCAAAGGUUCCCUCAGAAUGGUUGGAAAUCAUUCAUAGAGUGUAAAGGCAUAAGGGAGCUUGACUGCGAGACCUACAAGUCGAGCAGGGUCGAAAGACGGACUUAGUGAUCCGGUGGUUCCGCAUGGAAGGGCCAUCGCUCAACGGAUAAAAGCUACCCCGGGGAUAACAGGCUUAUCUCCCCCAAGAGUUCACAUCGACGGGGAGGUUUGGCACCUCGAUGUCGGCUCAUCGCAUCCUGGGGCUGUAGUCGGUCCCAAGGGUUGGGCUGUUCGCCCAUUAAAGCGGUACGCGAGCUGGGUUCAGAACGUCGUGAGACAGUUCGGUCCCUAUCCGUCGUGGGCGUAGGAAAUUUGAGAGGAGCUGUCCUUAGUACGAGAGGACCGGGAUGGACAUACCUCUGGUGUACCAGUUGUCGUGCCAACGGCAUAGCUGGGUAGCUAUGUGUGGACGGGAUAAGUGCUGAAAGCAUCUAAGCAUGAAGCCCCCCUCAAGAUGAGAUUUCCCAACUUCGGUUAUAAGAUCCCUCAAAGAUGAUGAGGUUAAUAGGUUCGAGGUGGAAGCAUGGUGACAUGUGGAG